UACGUAGGGGGCUAGCGUUGUCCGGAAUCAUUGGGCGUAAAGAGCGUGUAGGCGGUCCGGUAAGUCAGCUGUGAAAGUCAAGGGCUCAACCCUUGAAUGCCGGUUGAUACUGCCAAGCUAGAGUGCGGAAGGGGCAACUGGAAUUCCCAGUGUAGCGGUGAAAUGCGUAGAUAUUGGGAAGAACACCUGAGGCGAAGGCGGGUUGCUGGGCCGACACUGACGCUGAGGCGCGAAAGCCAGGGGAGCAAACGGG
This 253-nucleotide ribosomal RNA is filed under the name uncultured bacterium. RNAcentral describes it as "partial 16S ribosomal RNA". It matches the Rfam family "Bacterial small subunit ribosomal RNA", at positions 524 to 776 of the family's 1533-position model. The record is from RNAcentral.